UUGAGCGAGUGAAGCUGCGUGGGGCCGGUGAAUAAUUAAGAAGAAAAAAGUAAUUAAAAUGUGUUUUGCUGAAGAAUGAAGAUUGGUAGUAAGUAAGUUGCAAGCAGAGUGUCCAUCAGUGCCGGUAAGCGCCCAGCUAACAUCAUAUAUUCAUCAAAAAAGUUCAUCAAUCAUCUGAACAAAGGAAUCUCAGUACACCAUGCAUAUCACUACACACUUUUUCUACACACAUUAAUGAAAAACCACAUUAUUUCACCGGACACCACAAUCAUUCAACGUUAUUCAACGCUAUCAUUGGAAAUGUAGAUGUUGGAGCUGAGUUGUUUGCGGUUAACUCACAAUGCAGAAAGGUUCUCAUCAAUUUCCCUAUCAUUCAUGUAAUUAAACGCCUUUUACGGAGCUAAUUGAUUACGCAAGCAUCGCGACGUGUAAACGAAGCAUGUUGACUUAGGAGCGGCAGGCGCGUACGAGUAAGCAAAUAAAAGUGUUGCCGCCUGGGCGUCGCAUCGGCCUGCCCGACGCAAUGAUUAAUGAUUUACGCGAGGACACAUUGUUCCAACGACAGCACGUCCAGCCAGAAAACAUAAACAGGCACGUUGCGUAAAUUACAAGCGCAAUUAUCGCAAUUGCUCGUUUUCCAGCUUUCCGAGCGCCGCAAGCAAUUGCCUGAAUUCUGCCACACUUUCACUUGCCACUCGAAAACUAUUGUCACUAUUGCCGAAAAAUGUGAUUCAAUUGUCGGCGCGCACACAAUCACUGAUGAAUGCUGGUUGAUGGUAACCCGUAUUCGUUGGCUCGCGACGUGCUGCGACCCGCCGGCGAGUGGGCUCGAAUGCUUGGAAUUAAAAACGUGCGGCUUAAAAAAAAGUAUCAAAGCGACGACCAUGGUGUGUAAGCGAGCGGCCGAAAUCUAUGCCAUACCAUCAUGUUGCCCCGACCAGCCAACCAGCGUGCGGCACGCAUGGGCCAAGGGGUUGCCGGAGGGAUUGCCUACCUAAACUAUGCGGCCCAUUAUACGCACGCAUGGAUUGUGGACAUCCACGAGGUCGUGGUCUCAAGUUAUCUUGACGAGGAUCGCCUGUCAGCAAAAAAUGCACAUGGGGCAACCGAAAGUUGACUCGCAAUAGAGACAACAAUAGCCAAUAUGCAUAAUUGGAGUAGACGGGCUGCGACUUUUAUGAAGAUACCAAUAAAGCAAUAAAACCCUUCCUCUCGGGCGCGCUUAGAACUUUUCGGCACGCCACGAAAAUUUACAAUUUGUUUGCGCUCGUAAAGCGGCGAGUCAAA
Long non-coding RNA from Dalotia coriaria, 1287 nucleotides. RefSeq lists it as uncharacterized. Lineage: Eukaryota; Metazoa; Arthropoda; Insecta; Coleoptera; Staphylinidae. The record is from RefSeq and is a predicted model, not a curated record. The transcript has 3 exons.